CGCCUUGCCAGCCCGCUACCGAAACUCAAAGGAAUUGACGGGGGCCGCACAAGCGGUGGAGCAUGUGGUUAAUUCGAAGCAACGCGAAGAACCUACCAGGCCUUGACAUGCAGAGAACUUCAGAGAUGGAUUGGUGCCUUCGGGAACUCUGACACAGGUGCUGCAUGGCUGCCGUCAGCUCGUGUCGUGAGAUGUUGGGUUAAGUCCCGUAACGAGCGCAACCCUUGUCCUUAGUUACCAGCACGUUAUGGUGGGCACUCUAAGGAGACUGCCGGUGACAAACCGGAGGAAGGUGGGGAUGACGUCAAGUCAUCAUGGCCCUUACGGCCUGGGCUACACACGUGCUACAAUGGUCGGUACAAAGGGUUGCCAAGCCGGCGAGGUGGAGCUAAAUCCCAUAAAACCGAUCGUAGUCCGGAUCGCAGUCUGCAACUCGACUGCGUGAAGUCGGAAUCGCUAGUAAUCGUGAAUCAGAAUGUCACGGUGAAUACGUUCCCGGGCCUU
Molecule: ribosomal RNA, 504 nt
Filed under: uncultured Pseudomonas sp.
Lineage: Bacteria; Pseudomonadati; Pseudomonadota; Gammaproteobacteria; Pseudomonadales; Pseudomonadaceae
Description: bacterial SSU rRNA
Rfam family: Bacterial small subunit ribosomal RNA
Source: RNAcentral